Anolis carolinensis (green anole) is the source of this 1071-nucleotide long non-coding RNA. RefSeq lists it as uncharacterized. The record is from RefSeq and is a predicted model, not a curated record. The transcript is spliced from 2 exons. Lineage: Eukaryota; Metazoa; Chordata; Lepidosauria; Squamata; Anolidae.
GCUCGAAUAUUAUUGGUGCUCUUUGCUCUCAACGUGAGGGCGGGGGGAGAGCGCGAGAGCAGAGGGAGUAGGCGGGGCCGUCGUGACUGCGCAUGUCAGCGGGACUGCUCUUUAAGCGUCGCCUUUGGCGAGUGAAGCCUUUGGACUUUCAGGGAGGGAGUAUGGGUGUCAUUUAGAGGUGCCUCCAUCCCCUUCCUCAUAGUGGAGGCGAAACAGGAAUAGAGAGUGGUGCUGUGAUGCCCCAUGGGCCUUGGAGUUCUGACCCCAGCGCCAUCAUGGAUCAUGAUGAUGAAAACAUGGGUUUUUUGCCGUCUCAGCAAGAGACAGAGCCGUCCCAGAUGCCUGUUGUGGACAAUUCUUGCCAAGAACUCAUUAAAACAGACCUUGAACCAGUUCUUCCCAGCGCUUCUCCCCCCUUUGCGAGAAGGGAGUUCUAUCAGGCGAGCCGUUUCCAAAGAGAACAAACAAGGAGAAGUAUGAGAUUAGCAGCCAGACAGGUCGUUAAUUAGCUAGUUUCUCUUGGGAGCUUUCAGGGAGGAACGCAUCUGGAUGAAGAGGUAUUUCGCUUCUUUUUCCCUUGGGAAAGGAAGCUCUGGACACCUGCUCUGCAGGAAGAUUAAAGUUCUUUAUAAGUUCCCCGCACUGGUGAAGCCGUUGCGGAGUCAACAGAUCAGCUUAAGGAUUAACUUCGGUUCCAGCCAAGUGUGGACUGCGUUUGAGCCUGCAACCUCCAGUUCCUUCGUGCCUUGCCUUGCCGUGUUUCAUGACCUAUCUCAUCGUGUUUUCCAGCCUUGCAUCUUGUGCCAAGUAUCCAGUCUUGUCUCCAACUCCCUGCCUUGGACUUAUGUUAAAAUUCAGUAAAACUUCUGGACGUUUUUUCCCCACUCUAACUGCUUGGAAGUGGAGUGUGUUUCGGUUCUGGGAUUACAACUUUGAACUCUAAUAUAAUAUACUGGACAAUAUAUUUCUGGACUAUAUUUGACCUUCCCUGAAAAGUCUAUUGCUGGACUACAUUUUCUACUUGUUUUUAUCCUACUAUAAUAUUUCUUUAAUAAAGAUAUUAGAUUGUUA